RNAcentral lists this ribosomal RNA (247 nucleotides) under uncultured Sarcina sp. RNAcentral describes it as "partial 16S ribosomal RNA". It matches the Rfam family "Bacterial small subunit ribosomal RNA", at positions 796 to 1041 of the family's 1533-position model. Lineage: Bacteria; Bacillati; Bacillota; Clostridia; Eubacteriales; Clostridiaceae. The record is from RNAcentral.
CACGCCGUAAACGAUGAAUACUAGGUGUAGGGGUUGUCAUGACCUCUGUGCCGCCGCUAACGCAUUAAGUAUUCCGCCUGGGGAGUACGGUCGCAAGAUUAAAACUCAAAGGAAUUGACGGGGGCCCGCACAAGCAGCGGAGCAUGUGGUUUAAUUCGAUGCAACGCGAAGAACCUUACCAGGGCUUGACAUAUAUGCGCUAGCACUAGAGAUAGUGGGUUCUCUUCGGAGACGUAUAUACAGGUGG